RNAcentral lists this unclassified non-coding RNA (253 nucleotides) under uncultured Myxococcales bacterium. RNAcentral's name for it is "contains 16S-23S intergenic spacer region". It matches the Rfam family "Bacterial small subunit ribosomal RNA", at positions 524 to 776 of the family's 1533-position model. Lineage: Bacteria; Pseudomonadati; Myxococcota; Myxococcia; Myxococcales. The record is from RNAcentral.
UACGGAGGGUGCAAGCGUUACUCGGAUUUAUUGGGCGUAAAGAGCACGUAGGCGGUUCUGUAAGUCUGGUGUGAAAUCCCUCGGCUCAACCGAGGAACUGCGCUGGAAACUGCAGGACUUGAGUACGGGAUAGGGUGGUGGAAUUCCCAGUGUAGAGGUGAAAUUCGUAGAUAUUGGGAGGAACACCAGUGGCGUAGGCGACCACCUGGACCGAUACUGACGCUGAGGUGCGAAAGCGUGGGGAGCAAACAGG